RNAcentral lists this unclassified non-coding RNA (395 nucleotides) under soil metagenome. RNAcentral describes it as "partial contains 5.8S ribosomal RNA, internal transcribed spacer 2, and large subunit ribosomal RNA". The stretch from base 1 to 120 matches the Rfam family "5.8S ribosomal RNA", at positions 35 to 154 of the family's 154-position model. The record is from RNAcentral.
GAUGAAGAACGUAGCGAAAUGCGAUAAGUAGUGUGAAUUGCAGAAUUCAGUGAAUCAUCGAAUCUUUGAACGCACAUUGCGCCUCCUGGCAUUCCGGGAGGCAUGCCUGUUCGAGCGUCAUCAAACCCCAUCGUGCAAAUGAAUUAUUUUUUUUGCGCGGAAGUGACGAUUGAGCGAGAAUAACAAAUCCUCUCGCACCUCGUCGAAAUGAUUGCGGGCGGAAUUUGGGAUCGGGUUCCUCGGCGUAGUGUAUCAAUGCAUAUUUAUGCAACUUGCCGCGGAGUUGAGCCUGACCCACGCGUUCUCGCCGUACAAACACCUCAUUACUUUACAAGUUUUUGACCUCGGAUCAGGUAGGGAUACCCGCUGAACUUAAGCAUAUCAAUAAGCGGAGG